This is a small nuclear RNA of Suncus etruscus (white-toothed pygmy shrew), 107 nucleotides long. The record is from RefSeq and is a predicted model, not a curated record. NCBI's taxonomy places the organism in Eukaryota, Metazoa, Chordata, Mammalia, Eulipotyphla, Soricidae.
GAGCUCACUUGGGCAGCACAUAUACUAAAAUUGGAACAAUACAGAGAAGAUUAGCUUGGCCCCAUCGAAAGGAUGACACACAAAUUUGUGAAGCGUUCCAUAUUAAA